Molecule: long non-coding RNA, 1182 nt
Organism: Antechinus flavipes (yellow-footed antechinus)
Lineage: Eukaryota; Metazoa; Chordata; Mammalia; Dasyuromorphia; Dasyuridae
Exons: 4
Source: RefSeq, a predicted model, not a curated record
AACCAGGGGGAUUGAGGCUCUUUCAGCUGCCAGGGGCUGUGGAGGAGAAGGCAGCCCUCCUCCUUCUCCCUUGCCCCAAGCAGUGGCAGGAUGAUGCGUUGCAUGUGGGAGGAGGCCAGUGAGACUGGAGCCGAGGGAGCAAGAAGGCCCUGAAUUCAAGGUGAGAGAACAUGACUAUUUUCAAUGAGGGAAGGACCAUGUGAGCUGGGCAGUGCACAGAGAUGAGAGGAUCCUUCAAGUUGGAGGCUUUGGGUCUGCCAGGCUAUAGCUCCAGAGGCGGGCAAAUCUGCCCUUGCUAUUUUCCCAGAUGCUUCAACUUCCUUCACUGUGGUCUGAUAGGGUAGAAAAGAGUCUGCUGUUAGAAGGCAUGGAAUCUCAGCUAAUGGCUACAGGUUGAAUUGCUGCGGGUAUGGAUUGAGCAAUCAAAUCACUCCUUCGUGCUGUGCUGACCUACCAAGUUUAACUAUCAGCAAAUUCUGGUAUGGACACCUGUCACCAAAUCUUUGUCCUCUGACCUUCUGAAGUUGCACAAGGCCCUGAAAAUGAGACUUAAAGAGGAGCCCUAGGCUUGCCUUGAGCACCAUGCUCUCAUAGGCUAGUCAGAUAUGGGGGAGGGGAAGAGCCGGCCAUUCCUCUCACUAGAACUUGAGAAAGUUGCCCCUACAAAUAAUGUCUAGCAGGAAAGAAAGACAGUGAGAUUUUCUUUGGGGAGCUUUUAAAAAUAUAUCCCCAGGGGCAGCUCGGUGGUGCAAUGGAUAGAGCACUAGCUCCAAAGCCAGGAGGAUCUGAGUUCAAAUGUGUCUCAAACACUUAAUACUUCCUAGCUGUGUGACCCUGGGCAAGUCACUUAGCCCCAAUCGCCUCAGCAAAAAUAAAAUAAAAUAAAAUAAAAUAUAUAUAUUCCCAGUUCUGACUCAGUGGCCAAUCAAAAUAUCCCCUCAACCUUUUAAAAACUACAAUGAUAAGGAAAUGGUCAGAGAAUUCCUGUGUUUGCUAUGAAGUUAAGAACCAGGAUUGGCAUGGUAUAUCAUCAAAAACUUAAACAGGUUCACCAAACAUCCACGUGGGUUCCUGUUCAGGACUGAGCCUUCACUGUCUAGUCUACUAUUACAUACAUAAUUGUUCACAGUUUGCUACAUGACUCUUUCUUGUUCUUUGAAUAUUGAAAUUUUUGUGUUGAUG